GCGGUGGCCUAAUGGUUAGUGCCCUGGACUCUGGAUCGAGUGGUCUGGGUUUGAACCCUGGCUGGGGUG
Desmophyllum pertusum is the source of this 69-nucleotide non-coding RNA. NCBI's taxonomy places the organism in Eukaryota, Metazoa, Cnidaria, Anthozoa, Scleractinia, Caryophylliidae. The record is from the annotation of a GenBank genome assembly.